UACGGAGGGUGCAAGCGUUGUCCGGAAUCACUGGGCGUAAAGGGCGCGUAGGCGGCUCAUGAAGGCUGUGGUGAAAGUCCGGGGCUCAACCUCGGAUCGGCCGUGGCGACUCGUGGGCUGGAGCACUGUAGAGGCGGGUGGAAUUCCGGGUGUAGCGGUGGAAUGCGUAGAGAUCCGGAAGAACACCAGUGGCGAAGGCGGCCUGCUGGGCUAUGGCUGACACUGAGGCGCGACAGCGUGGGGAGCAAACAGG
This 253-nucleotide ribosomal RNA is filed under the name uncultured bacterium. RNAcentral's name for it is "partial 16S ribosomal RNA". It matches the Rfam family "Bacterial small subunit ribosomal RNA", at positions 524 to 776 of the family's 1533-position model. The record is from RNAcentral.